This 460-nucleotide ribosomal RNA is filed under the name uncultured bacterium. Its description in RNAcentral is "bacterial SSU rRNA". It matches the Rfam family "Bacterial small subunit ribosomal RNA", at positions 28 to 525 of the family's 1533-position model. The record is from RNAcentral.
GACGAACGCUGGCGGCAUGCCUAACACAUGCAAGUCGAUCGGUAAGGCUCUUCGGAGUACACGAGAGGCGGACGGCUGAGUAACGCGUAGGAACACACCCUGCAGUGAGGGAUAAGACACCGAAAGGUGUUCUAAUACCGCAUACGGUCUUCGGAUUAAAGCAUUUAUGCGCUGAAGGAGUGGCCUGCGUCAUAUUAGAUAGUUGGUGAGGUAAUGGCUUACCAAGUCGAUGAUGUGUAGCUGGUCUGAGAGGAUGAUCAGCCAGACUGGAACUGAGACACGGUCCAGACUCCUACGGGAGGCAGCAGUGAGGAAUAUUUCAUAAUGAGCGAAAGCUUGAUGGAGCAAUGCCGCGUGCAGGAUGAAGGCCCUCGGGUUGUAAACUGCUUUUAUAAGAGAAGAUUAUGACGGUAACUUAUGAAUAAGGGACGGCUAACUACGUGCCAGCACCGCGGUAAAG